Molecule: ribosomal RNA, 73 nt
Filed under: Lyophyllum decastes
Lineage: Eukaryota; Fungi; Basidiomycota; Agaricomycetes; Agaricales; Lyophyllaceae
Description: partial 28S ribosomal RNA
Source: RNAcentral
AGUUGAGAGGAUUUUGCUUCUAAUCGUCCUCCAAGGACAACUUCUUUACUUUUGACCUCAAAUCAAAGUCCUA